This 1359-nucleotide ribosomal RNA is filed under the name Aeromonas hydrophila. RNAcentral's name for it is "partial 23S ribosomal RNA". It matches the Rfam family "Bacterial large subunit ribosomal RNA", at positions 157 to 1573 of the family's 2925-position model. Lineage: Bacteria; Pseudomonadati; Pseudomonadota; Gammaproteobacteria; Aeromonadales; Aeromonadaceae. The record is from RNAcentral.
CGUGAAUACAUAGCGUAGCGAGGCGAACCGGGAGAACUGAAACAUCUAAGUACCCCGAGGAAAAGAAAUCAACCGAGAUUCCCUCAGUAGCGGCGAGCGAACGGGGAUUAGCCCUUAAGCAUCUUGGAAGUUAGUGGAACGGUCCUGGAAAGGCCGGCGAUACAGGGUGAUAGCCCCGUACACGAAAACAACCUUGAUGUGAAAUCGAGUAGGGCGGGACACGUGACAUCCUGUCUGAAUAUGGGGGGACCAUCCUCCAAGGCUAAAUACUCCUGACUGACCGAUAGUGAACCAGUACCGUGAGGGAAAGGCGAAAAGAACCCCUGUGAGGGGAGUGAAAUAGAACCUGAAACCGUGUACGUACAAGCAGUGGGAGCCCUUCGGGGUGACUGCGUACCUUUUGUAUAAUGGGUCAGCGACUUACAUUUUGUAGCGAGGUUAACCGUAUAGGGGAGCCGUAGGGAAACCGAGUCUUAACUGGGCGUCUAGUUGCAAGGUGUAGACCCGAAACCGGGUGAUCUAGCCAUGGGCAGGUUGAAGGUUGAGUAACAUCAACUGGAGGACCGAACCCACUAACGUUGCAAAGUUAGGGGAUGACCUGUGGCUGGGGGUGAAAGGCCAAUCAAACUCGGAGAUAGCUGGUUCUCCCCGAAAGCUAUUUAGGUAGCGCCUCGGACGAAUACUACUGGGGGUAGAGCACUGUUUGGGCUAGGGGGUCAUCCCGACUUACCAACCCCAUGCAAACUCCGAAUACCAGUAAGUAAUAUCCGGGAGACACACGGCGGGUGCUAACGUCCGUCGUGAAGAGGGAAACAACCCAGACCGCCGGCUAAGGUCCCAAAGUUCUGGUUAAGUGGGAAACGAUGUGGGAAGGCUCAGACAGCUAGGAUGUUGGCUUAGAAGCAGCCAUCAUUUAAAGAAAGCGUAAUAGCUCACUAGUCGAGUCGGCCUGCGCGGAAGAUGUAACGGGGCUCAAACCAGGCACCGAAGCCGCGGAUUCACGCUAAGCGUGAGUGGUAGGGGAGCGUUCUGUAAGUCUGCGAAGGUGUGUCGAGAGGCAUGCUGGAGAUAUCAGAAGUGCGAAUGCUGACGUAAGUAACGAUAAAGGGGGUGAAAAGCCUCCUCGCCGGAAGACCAAGGGUUCCUGUCCAACGUUAAUCGGGGCAGGGUGAGUCGACCCCUAAGGCGAGGCCGAAAGGCGUAGUCGAUGGGAAGCAGGUUAAUAUUCCUGCACGACUUGUAAUUGCGAUGGGGGGACGGAGAAGGCUAGGUGGGCCAGGCGACGGUUGUCCUGGUGAAAGUGCGUAGGUGGUGUUUCUAGGCAAAUCCGGAGACACAACACUGAGACACGAGACGAAC